This 559-nucleotide long non-coding RNA is filed under the name Gossypium barbadense (sea-island cotton). Its description in RNAcentral is "long non-coding RNA (GBAR_LNC018629)". The record is from RNAcentral. Lineage: Eukaryota; Viridiplantae; Streptophyta; Magnoliopsida; Malvales; Malvaceae.
AUGGAAGAAGACCAUUUGCAUGCCCGAAAACCCAACAUUUACUCCAUUUUGAACUGCUAAGUGGAAGAACUGUUAUGCAUCUACUCGUAGCUAAGAACAGUAGCUGGAGUUGGAAGAAGCUGAUGGGAUUGAAAACUGAAGCUUCCCAAAAUUUUCAAAGUAAAACGUUGGCCUGUACAGGGAGAGAGAGAUGUUGUGAGCAAAGCUCGACAGGAAAUAAGGCCAAAAGCUAGUAAAGUGGGUUGGGGCAAGGUUAUUUGGUGUUUUCUUUAUGUUCCUAAGCAUUCUUCAGUUUCCUAGGAUUGGGGGAUAAUUAUAGUUGGUUCAUUUGCUUGUAGGAUGUUCUUAUUCAAACAGACUAUGGGAAGAGGUGGUGCAGCUUUGCAAUUUAUAAUGGGAGCCAAGGGUGGGUUGGAAUGAUGUUGUAUAUUGGAUUUGAAGAGAGCGAUAAUAGGCAAUUCAGAUGUCAACAAACAAAGAUCAGAACUGGAGCUGUUUGAAUUGAUGAAGGGAAGUGUGAGUGUGAAACUGUGUGUGAUACAGAAAUUAAUAGAAAUGA